AGAAAAAUAAGCUAAGUAUAAGCUAAUGGGUUCAUACCUCAUAAAUGGAUAUUAAUCCUUUUUCUA
Molecule: transfer RNA, 66 nt
Filed under: Calvisia medogensis
Lineage: Eukaryota; Metazoa; Arthropoda; Insecta; Phasmatodea; Lonchodidae
Description: tRNA-Met
Source: RNAcentral